GCCAGACUCCUACGGGAGGCAGCAGUGGGGGAUAUUGCACAAUGGGGGGAACCCUGAUGCAGCGACGCCGCGUGGGUGAAGGAGCGUUUCGGCGCGUAAAGCCCUAUCGGCAGGGAAGAAGGAGGACGGUACCUGACUAAGAAGCCCCGGCUAACUACGUGCCAGCAGCCGCGGUAAUACGUAGGGGGCAAGCGUUAUCCGGAUUUACUGGGUGUAAAGGGGGCGCAGACGGCAGCGCAAGCCAGGAGUGAAAGCCCGGGGCCCAACCCCGGGACUGCUCUUGGAACUGCGCGGCUGGAGUGCAGGAGGGGCAGGCGGAAUCCCUGGUGUAGCGGUGAAAUGCGUAGAUAUCAGGAGGAACACCAGUGGCGAAGGCGGCCUGCUGGACGGUAACUGACGCUGAGGCUCGAAAGCGUGGGGAGCAAACAGGAUUAGAUACCCCAGUAC
This 447-nucleotide ribosomal RNA is filed under the name uncultured bacterium. Its description in RNAcentral is "partial 16S ribosomal RNA". It matches the Rfam family "Bacterial small subunit ribosomal RNA", at positions 330 to 793 of the family's 1533-position model. The record is from RNAcentral.